RNAcentral lists this ribosomal RNA (253 nucleotides) under uncultured bacterium. RNAcentral's name for it is "partial 16S ribosomal RNA". It matches the Rfam family "Bacterial small subunit ribosomal RNA", at positions 524 to 776 of the family's 1533-position model. The record is from RNAcentral.
UACGAAGGGGGCUAGCGUUGCUCGGAAUCACUGGGCGUAAAGGGUGCGUAGGCGGGUCUUUAAGUCAGGGGUGAAAUCCUGGAGCUCAACUCCAGAACUGCCUUUGAUACUGAGGAUCUUGAGUUCGGGAGAGGUGAGUGGAACUGCGAGUGUAGAGGUGAAAUUCGUAGAUAUUCGCAAGAACACCAGUGGCGAAGGCGGCUCACUGGCCCGAUACUGACGCUGAGGCGCGAAAGCGUGGGAAGCAAACAGG